RNAcentral lists this ribosomal RNA (253 nucleotides) under uncultured bacterium. RNAcentral's name for it is "partial 16S ribosomal RNA". It matches the Rfam family "Bacterial small subunit ribosomal RNA", at positions 524 to 776 of the family's 1533-position model. The record is from RNAcentral.
UACAGAGGUCUUAAGCGUUGUUCGGAUUCAUUGGGCGUAAAGGGUGCGUAGGCGGCGCGGUAAGUCGGGUGUGAAAUCUCGGAGCUUAACUCCGAAACUGCAUUCGAUACUGCCGUGCUUGAGGACUGGAGAGGAAACUGGAAUUUACGGUGUAGCGGUGAAAUGCGUAGAUAUCGUAAGGAAGACCAGUGGCGAAGGCGGGUCUCUGGACAGUUCCUGACGCUGAGGCACGAAGGCCAGGGGAGCAAACGGG